This 947-nucleotide long non-coding RNA is filed under the name Corvus moneduloides (New Caledonian crow). Its description in RNAcentral is "lncRNA (ENSCMUG00000017644.1)". The record is from RNAcentral. Lineage: Eukaryota; Metazoa; Chordata; Aves; Passeriformes; Corvidae.
GAAAUAUGUUAACAACAACAAAAAAUAUGUGGGAAUUUGAUAUUGUCCAUAUCAUUGGAUAAAAAGCCUGCCUCUCAACUUAUUUACUGCUCCACCUCUGGCUUUUGCUGCACCUGUCUUCACAAGCAUCGGAGCAUUCGUGUUUCGUCUGUCUUGUCGUGGCUGGAUGAAGUCAUCUUGGAGCAUGGGUGCGGUGGUGAAAGACACACACAGUGAAUUUACAUCUCUUGGAUAAAGGGAGAAGCUGAAGAAAGAUUUCCCCUGUGAGCUGGCUUUUAUCGCCAGUGCGAACAUCUUAGUCAGCACAAGCUCAGACUUCUAAAAUUGUGCAGCCGUGUGCUGUGAGGGAGGGAUACAGCUUCUGCAGCUUCCUGCUUCCCUGGAUCAGCCACGGAUGAAGGCUACAGGAUCUGGUGCUCCUCUAGCAGGAAUUGCUGAGCCCAGGUCAGAAAUCCUCAGACCAAAGCAAACAGUGCCACAGAAAAAUGCUGUAAGACAACCCAGUUUUGAGGGAAGUGCCCCUGAUAACUUCUCAGCUCCAGAGAGAAGCAGUGGAGGUUGGGGCCACUGAGUCUCCAUGGAAGUCAGAGGGUAAGGUUUGUUUAACUAAUUAGUGGUAAUCCUGAAUAACUCAGUGGGCUUUAAUUUAUGGGGUUUCCACCAGGUUCUGUGUUCAGCUCCUCACGGAGCGCCUGGAUCCCUGGGUUUUGUCACACAUGGAGUCCUGGAGACUGCCAUGGCCUGGAGAUCUGAGGCGGCCAUCUAGGGCACAGGGACAUGGCUUUAGGUCAAGUGCCCUCCAGUCCUCUGUAUCUGGUGGUGGGCAAGGAUCAUCCCUGGCUGUUGUCCCAAAGGUACUCUUGGGGAUCCACAAUGCAGACUAGGAGAUGGGCAGGAUGGACACCCUUGUCCAUCCAGUCUGAGGAGGCUGACUGUAUGUGGGACCU